GGAACACAUAGCUAAUGCUAUAUGUGAUGCGACUGAUGUGAUUGCUGGUACGUUCUGCAUCUCUCCCUUCCGUACUGUUGAAUAUUUAGUUUUAACCUACAAGAAAGAUUCUGAAAAUGAAAAUGACACCUUUAUCUUAUACAUGCCCAUCCAAAACAAACUUGUCACUGACACAGAAGUUCCCUGAAACUAGAUGUGCAUAUAUCACUGAAUGCUAAAGCUAGAGGUGUUAAUAGGGUUUUGUAACUCCUAGUGGGUCUUUAGUGAUCUGUUUUUUUUUUGUUUUUUUCAUGCUGUUACACUAGUUUUGCUAUCUGAUAAAACGUGAGAGUCUUGUAAUGUUGAGACUAACCAGUUGAAGUCUUGAUUUUGAUAAGUACUUGUGAACACUAUGUUGCAGGAUCUGGCAAAGGGGUUUCAGACACACCCCUUACGCUCCAUGUGAAGAAGGCUGGUGUUCCAGAUAUUACCAUGGUUGAUCUCCCUGGGAUAACCCGGGUUCCUGUGAACGGACAGCCUGAAAACAUCUAUGAACAGAUUUCCGGGAUGGUUAUGAAGUACAUCGACCCACAGGAAUCCAUCAUCCUCAAUGUUCUGUCAGCCACAGUUGAUU
RNAcentral lists this long non-coding RNA (613 nucleotides) under Arabidopsis lyrata. RNAcentral describes it as "long non-coding RNA (ALYR_LNC002654)". Lineage: Eukaryota; Viridiplantae; Streptophyta; Magnoliopsida; Brassicales; Brassicaceae. The record is from RNAcentral.